RNA transcript from Scatophagus argus, 4958 nucleotides. It is a transcript of the gene named adenosine deaminase domain containing 1 (testis-specific), with no coding region annotated. The transcript is spliced from 14 exons. NCBI's taxonomy places the organism in Eukaryota, Metazoa, Chordata, Actinopteri, Scatophagidae. The record is from RefSeq and is a predicted model, not a curated record.
GCUGCGACACAUAGCGUGGACAAUUUUCCAAACGGUGUAGUUUGUCUUGCUUUACAAACGAUCUCUGCUCACACGUGCUCAGCCUGCAGGGCUUUCAGUCACGUGAACGGCGAGACUCCAAACCUAUUUUGAAAAUUAAGACUUGUUGAAUGAAAACGCUACUGUUCACUAGCACAGUCAAAUAGAAGCAAUUCAGCUGCGUGUGUUCUUGAAAGCUUUUCAGGAUGUUUCCAGUGCAUGCAUCAUUUCAAAGUUCCAGAGAAGCCUCAUUAGCACAAAUCCUGAUGAAGAAUUUGCCUGCAACUUGCGAUGAACCUGCACCUACCCAGCAUGGUCCUGGCAAAAAUGUUAUUGGCCAGAAAGGGAAAGGUCAUGCUGGCAAGCCAAAAGUCUUACCUGAAACGCUUAUUGAAAGAUUCAAGCAAGGCGAGAUGAACGCCGUGGCUUUACUCAAUCAGCUUGCCCACACUUUGCAGUUCCGCCUUGAAAUUAAGGAGACGGUGACCACAGGCAAUGUACAGUGGCUUUAUUUUGCCUUUUGUGUGGUUAUCAAUGGCAUUGAGUACAAGGUUGGAAUGGGAACAAGCAAGAAGGAGGCCCGGCACAGAGCAGCGGUGCUCGCUUUGCAGGAUCUGCUCCCCACUUUGGAAAAUCUAAAUUCUGCACUCCCCCAAGGUUCAGAUGUCCCCCCGCCCCUGCCAGUUAAGCAGCAGCCCUCCAGUCCCGACUUCGAUCCUCCUAGAGCCAUUCACGAAAAGAAGAAUUCCACCAUCCUCCAGAUUCCACAUGCUGUCAAUGAUCGGCUCACUAAACUGAUGAACGGCCACCCAGAGUUCUCUGCCUGUGCAGCCACCACAGCAGCUUUCGUCAUUCAGACUUCUGGCGGAUGUGAGGUGGUUGCUUUUGGCACAGGGGACUUCAGUACCAAAGAGAAUUCCUCAUCCAAUGGUCGGAUUGUGCAUGAUUCACAUGCUGUGGUCACUGCAAGGAGAUCACUAAUGAGGUUUCUUUACCGUCACCUGCUGAUGUUCUAUAGCAGAACGGCCAGUCUGAUGGAGAAGUCGAUCUUCCAGCAGAGCAGCAGCAGCUGUCUCCUCAGCCUGAAAAGCGGCAUCACCCUCCACCUCUAUGUGAACCAACUGCCAAAGGGGGCCGCUCAGAUCCCCUCCAAGCUACGCCUGAACCCCCUCUCCCUUUCGGCAUGGCAAGUCAACAACGAGAUCAGCCUCCACUUGUCAGUGGAGGGCAAGGUAUUCUCAGUUUUCUCGUCAAUGUUUGGUCACUCAGCCUCCAAGGUGGUCAGCAUGUCCGCCACAGACAAACUCACUCAGUGGCAGGUGCUUGGAUACCAGGGAGCCUUGCUCAGCCACUUUAUCGAGCCCAUCUAUGCCCAAAGCAUCCUCAUAGGUGACUCUGGCUGCAGUGCCAUCCGUGGCAUGGAGAUCUCUGUGUGCCAGCGUGUGGAGGGGAUCACCCCUCAGCUGCCUAUGUUCUACUGUAUGAUGAGACCCCACAUCAGCCUGGUGCCUUCUGUGGCUGCCACCACAGAAGGCAGUGGCCAGGUGACCUAUGGCAUCAACUGGUGCGAAGGAGACAGCUCCCUGGAGGUUGUGGAUGGCCUGGAGGGCAAGACCACAGAGGGAUCUCCCUUUAAGAGCGGCUCUGCUCUGGCAAGUCGUCUGUGUAAAGCAGCGAUGCUGCAUCGCUUCAAGUUGGUGGCCAAAGAGACCCAGAGGCACGACCUGCUGGCUACAAGGUCCUACAGAGAAGCCAAGAUUAGCCCGAAAGCACUGCAGUGCCGACAGACAGCAGCAGUCCUGUUACACAAAGAAAGAAGAAAACGGUGAGUAAAACAUCAGUACCACACCAACACAUAUCACUUUCUCCAGUUUGGCCUGUUGAAUGACAGUACCAUGGUAAGUGUUUUAUAUUUAGAAUAGAUUACUCCAAUAAAAUUUGAACAGGUUGUUCAGCACAUCUUAAUUCACGUCAGCGUUACUUUUACUUCAUUUGGGGUUUAUAUUUUGCAUUCUGCCUACCAAAGGCCAAGUUCACCAACAGUUACUUUUUACAUGGCAAAUUUUUUUCAUGAUACAGUUUGUACAUGUGUUCUCCCGUCACUGCCAUCAAAAUCAUUUCCAAGAACGCUGUUGUUUUUGGUUUCAUGUCACAACUUGAUCAUUCCAGUUGACUUUCCUGUCAGAUACAUGCAUAAUACUUUUAGUUAUACUGAAACUUAACCUAAGAAUGUUUCCAUGAUUUUAAACUUUCUUUUCUUGGACUUUUUUUUUGUGUGUGUCAAGUUGUUUCCCUCCAUAAUGUAAUCAAACUGUUGAUGAUAUGACACGCUUUUUCCAAGUGAAACAGUUUGUUUCUGUUUAGACAGCAGUAGUGAGUGAUGGCCGUGAACUUGGCUAGCCUGGGUCAGAUCACAGUUUUACAUCACAGAAUGUGUGCUGUUAGUAGGUCAGAUAGGUAGAUUUUUUUUCUUCAGGGUGAGAACUGAACAAUAAGAAACGAUAAGAAGAACUUAGUACUUGCUGCUACAAAUAUUGAAGUUCUCUAAGAUGCUGUUUUUGCUUUUGACAGUCACAAAUUCUGGUGCAAUUUUGCUCUGUAGUGUAGUGAUUUUCAUUCUGAAUACUACGUCUUGUUCAGCAGAAUAGUGGCUUCACGCCCACUCUGAAAUCUUUAUCAUUUGUGGUUCAAGGUAAGCUGUAUUUUGCCAGUUUUUAAACUAGCGGGUGACUCAGAUGUUUUCUAGCAUGCUGGAGAGCAUUUUGAGUUUGUGAGGUGGUGUGAGGAAGUAUCAUGGUUUUGUCUGCUCUCUCGCUUGAUUACUCAUCACAUUUCUUUUGAGAGUGCAACGGAAGCUGUGAGAAAAUACACUGAGCAAGCUCUCGACUUGACUCACUCAAGAUCAUAAGCCUGACAAGAAAGAGGGCUGAUCUGAAUUUACAAGUAAUGCAGUUGAUCUUAAUGACCAUUUAUUUUAAGUCAAGUGCACAAGAGCAUAGCUUAAGAUUGAAAAAUAUUGUUUCCUUUCUACAAGUUCUAAUUAAUGUCAUUGUCAAGAUAACAUUUUUAAUAUUUUUUAGAUUCAAAUUUGAGUUUUUCUGUGGCUUAGGGCCAAAUUCUAACACUACUGGAAACAAAAAUUCUUUUAAAAGAAGCCAACUGCACAGUGGGUAGUUUGUUCUGUUGCUGUUUAAUUUCAAUAUUCUUCCUUGAAACUUUAGAUUUAGAAGAUUAAAAUUUAUAAUUAUUAAUUAUUCCAAAUACUUAUUUAUUAUCUUUAUUAAAUUCCAUGUUUGCUGUAUAAAAUUGAAAAAGUGACUGUUUAAAAAUGUGUGCUCACAUUUCAGUUUACUACAGAUGUUUUAGGUUUACCUGUGUGCUAUGUGCAAUUAAUUUCAUUAACUGAUGUCUUACUACAAUCAAUUACAUUUUUGACAUCUCAUAUAAAAAAAUGUGAAUUAUAUUUAAAAACAUCAAUUUGUCAGCCUUUACGCAUUCACAGCUGAUUGAUUAUAUGGACUUUACUCAACACAUUUAGUGAUUUCACACAUCAUUUGAUGUCCUCCUACAGUAGCUGGCACAUGACAAUCAGUAACUACAGUAAGUGGGAGAAUAACAACAAUGACUAAGCAACCUCAAAUAUUAAACUUGACGGUGACCAUACUUGUCAACGUUAUUUAGUAUACAACUUAGUUUGGCUUACCUCGAUAUUGUUUGGUGGAGUAUUCAGCAUUCCCUCACUGAGCUGCAAGACACAAGCCAAGAACAUUGUAAUCAGUAAUGAUCACUUUGACCAUACCUGGGCAAAUUUAUGAAAAAGUAAACAUCUGUGAACCUACCGGGAUGAUGUCUUUCACAGCCUUCAGCUGUCUGAGGACUUCUUGUAAUUUUCUUCUCUGCUGAGUUUUAUCAAUACUGCCUGUCGACCUGCUGGCCACAGAACAGCAGCAGACUGCAAAAAGGCAAAACACGACCAGCUUCAUAUUCUCAGAGUCAUCACCACUACGUGAUCCGAGAGUGGCGUCAAGACGCGCGUGCGUGGGGCCUAUAGAUGCAAGUGUGUGAAUGUAAAUUUGUUUGAGUGCACCCAACAGGAAGCUACAGGAAGACGGCACUUCCCAUUUUCAUUCUGAAUCAGUGGAGCCGUAGCUGUACCGUGUCAUAGGUAGUGUUCGUAGGUGUGGUAUUGACAACCUGAAUGCAUGCAUUGCAUCAUGGCCACCUACACAAACACACAGAGCAUGUUGCAACAACAGGAAGGCUUUUUUAGGUAUAAUUGUUGAACCAAAUUAAAAGUAAGGAGAUAAGAUUUGUGUCUGCACAACAGAAAUUCUGACCAUAUUCAGGACCUCGUGUCUCUGUAAGUUGGCUUUUAGGUUGAUGCUUUCCUCCGUUUAUCUCACUGUUACUCAUCAACCCGAGACCGUUUCCUUCUGUCCAUUUGCUAAGACACAGUUUCACACAAGGCUGUGUGGGUGAUACUCAGCAGUCACAUGAGAGUCAUUAAAGACAGCACUGUCUACGUACAAAACAGACUUCACUACAAAAGCGUUCACCGAAGCUAAAAGCUGUUAAACCUUUCAAAACUUUGCCACAGAGGACAGACGUAAAACAUAUAAAACAUACAGAGAUAUGGUUUAAAAAAAAAAAGGUCUCAAUGAGUGAACUGAUGUCCAGGGUUAGGUUUAGUCAGAUUUACUUUUACAUUAUGCACUCAUGUUAAAAAAGAAAGUUGUUUUGAUUUAAAUAUAUUUUAGCAGGCCAAUGAAAACAAUUUCUUCUUUCUUUCAAUGUCACAGUAAUGCAAAUUAAAGAGAUCCACCAAGGAAAUGAUGCAUCUCUGUUGCAAAUGAAAUCGCAUUUAUUAAGGUCCACAAAUGAGAAGCCACACACAUUGUAGAAUUUGCUUUAUUAGUGGUAAAAAAAAAAAAAAAAACACA